Molecule: transfer RNA, 91 nt
Filed under: Methanobrevibacter sp.
Lineage: Archaea; Methanobacteriati; Methanobacteriota; Methanobacteria; Methanobacteriales; Methanobacteriaceae
Description: tRNA-Ser
Rfam family: tRNA
About the family: Transfer RNA (tRNA) molecules are approximately 80 nucleotides in length.
Source: RNAcentral
GGAGUGGUACCCAAGAGGCUAAAGGGGCUCCCCUGCUAAGGGAGUAGGCGCAGAGAUGCGUGCGAGGGUUCGAAUCCCUCCCACUCCGCCA